RNAcentral lists this ribosomal RNA (210 nucleotides) under Staphylococcus aureus. RNAcentral's name for it is "partial 16S ribosomal RNA". It matches the Rfam family "Bacterial small subunit ribosomal RNA", at positions 1325 to 1533 of the family's 1533-position model. The record is from RNAcentral. Lineage: Bacteria; Bacillati; Bacillota; Bacilli; Caryophanales; Staphylococcaceae.
GCUGGAAUCGCUAGUAAUCGUAGAUCAGCAUGCUACGGUGAAUACGUUCCCGGGUCUUGUACACACCGCCCGUCACACCACGAGAGUUUGUAACACCCGAAGCCGGUGGAGUAACCUUUUAGGAGCUAGCCGUCGAAGGUGGGACAAAUGAUUGGGGUGAAGUCGUAACAAGGUAGCCGUAUCGGAAGGUGCGGCUGGAUCACCUCCUUU